RNAcentral lists this unclassified non-coding RNA (388 nucleotides) under Haliotis rufescens (red abalone). RNAcentral describes it as "uncharacterized LOC124140160, transcript variant X2". The record is from RNAcentral. Lineage: Eukaryota; Metazoa; Mollusca; Gastropoda; Lepetellida; Haliotidae.
UACGGAAAGCAACGAGACGCGGCGAUCGCUGAUGGAUCUCCAUGGAGACCGUUGCUACUUCCGUUAUUCACAAACGACGCCAUUUUGAUUGUUGCUGCUGCACUUUGUUUCCACGUCUGUGUUUGCAUUUUGCUCAUUAUCCCGCACGUAUCGCACGUUCUUCACGAUGUAUGCCACUGUUGCUUUGGUUUAUCAUCAAGUUCAGAUACAUCAAUUGUGGGAGGGAAACGGACAAGUACCGGAUUCCAGAGCCACGUUGUGACAGACAAUGCCGAGCGACUGAUGUUUCCAGUACAGUUGACAGCUAGUAUCGUGUCCCGCGAUCUCGAGACACUGUACAAGAUUUUUCAGUUCAGUGAUUAAUUAAUAAACUCGUUAUUAAACUUUA